This 253-nucleotide ribosomal RNA is filed under the name uncultured bacterium. RNAcentral describes it as "partial 16S ribosomal RNA". It matches the Rfam family "Bacterial small subunit ribosomal RNA", at positions 524 to 776 of the family's 1533-position model. The record is from RNAcentral.
UACAGAGGUGGCAAGCGUUGUUCGGAAUUACUGGGCGUAAAGGGCGCGUAGGCGGCCUCUUUAGUCAGACGUGAAAUCCCCCGGCUUAACCUGGGAACUGCGUCUGAUACUGGGAGGCUAGAGUUCGGGAGAGGGAUGUAGAAUUCCAGGUGUAGCAGUGAAAUGCGUAGAUAUGUGGAGGAACACCAAUGGCGAAGGCAGCCCCCUGGGCCAACACUGACGCUCAGGCACGAAAGCGUGGGGAGCAAACAGG